CUGCCAGAGAAAAGAAAACUCUAGAAAGGAUAUGUCGCUGCUACAUAAGCGAAAAAAACCUCAUCUCUCUGCCUAAAACAAUGCACAAGCUCCCACGCUGUCCGAAAAUGAAAUAGGCCAUCAUGGCUGGAAGCCCACCGAAUUAUAUCAAGUUUUUUACUAGAGAAAGGAACCAAUAAAAUCUGUGCCACGAUCGAAGAGGGUAACACAUCUUAAAGCUUACCUUGAUCCCAUGUUGUACCUCACCAAUAAAAAGAAACCAGCACCCCAGAAGCCGCUACAAGAUUAUAGGAGGCCAAAGGACAAGAGUCUAGCCAGCAAUCAUACCUAAAACUCACUACAACCGACCAACCAAUGCAUAUGAGGUUCAACAACCCACCCAAUCGAACAUAGUCAUCUCUAAAGAGGAGAGGCGGAAUGAUGAACCUAAACCUGACUUGUUUACACCAAUGAAUCUAAUGUCUUGACUCAGAAUCACCCUAUAAGAAUAGGUUGAAGAACCUUUCUAAGUAUUGUACUACAAUCGUAGGUGGGCAAAGAACAUGACGGCAUAGAAGACAACGCAUGUCAAACAAGCACUAGCUUCCCACCGAAAGAAAGCAACCGAUUGGCCCAUCUCGAGAUCUUAUCCCUAAUUUUUUGGACCAUAUCAUCAAAAUGAGAAAUCUUGAGACGCUUUGUAAAGACCGAACACCUAAGAUAAGUGAAUGGAAGCUGACACCACUGAAAGUCAGUGACUGAAUGGACAAUAGCCUGUCGUGAAGCAAGAGCUGAAGUUCUAAUGUAAAAAUUGCUUUUGGCUUGAUUAAUCAAUUGUCGCUAAAGACUCGAUCGAUUCCCAUUUAAAAAAAUAACAAUAUCA
Molecule: long non-coding RNA, 862 nt
Filed under: Citrus sinensis (sweet orange)
Lineage: Eukaryota; Viridiplantae; Streptophyta; Magnoliopsida; Sapindales; Rutaceae
Description: long non-coding RNA (CSIN_LNC005562)
Source: RNAcentral